Molecule: transfer RNA, 77 nt
Filed under: Clostridia bacterium
Lineage: Bacteria; Bacillati; Bacillota; Clostridia
Also listed under: 1 other name
Description: tRNA-Arg
Rfam family: tRNA
About the family: Transfer RNA (tRNA) molecules are approximately 80 nucleotides in length. Their secondary structure includes four short double-helical elements and three loops (D, anti-codon, and T loops).
Source: RNAcentral
CCGCCCAUAGCGCAAUUGGAUAGAGCGUCAGAUUCCGAUUCUGAAGGCUGGGGGUUCGAGUCCCUUUGGGCGGGCCA